This 401-nucleotide ribosomal RNA is filed under the name uncultured bacterium. RNAcentral describes it as "bacterial SSU rRNA". It matches the Rfam family "Bacterial small subunit ribosomal RNA", at positions 358 to 776 of the family's 1533-position model. The record is from RNAcentral.
GGAAUAUUGCACAGUGGGGGAAACCCUGAUGCAGCAACGCCGCGUGAGUGAAGAAGUAUUUCGGUAUGUAAAGCUCUAUCAGCAGGGAAGAAGAUGACGGUACCUGAUUAAGAAGCCCCGGCUAACUACGUGCCAGCAGCCGCGGUAAUACGUAGGGGGCAAGCGUUAUCCGGAUUUACUGGGUGUAAAGGGAGCGCAGACGGCAGUGCAAGUCUGGAGUGAAAGCCCGGGGCCCAACCCCGGAACUGCUCUGGAAACUGUGCGGCUAGAGUACUGGAGGGGCAGGCGGAAUUCCUAGUGUAGCGGUGAAAUGCGUAGAUAUUAGGAGGAACACCAGUGGCGAAGGCGGCCUGCUGGACAGUAACUGACGUUGAGGCUCGAAAGCGUGGGGAGCAAACAGG